Molecule: ribosomal RNA, 254 nt
Filed under: uncultured bacterium
Lineage: Bacteria
Description: partial 16S ribosomal RNA
Rfam family: Bacterial small subunit ribosomal RNA
Source: RNAcentral
UACGUAGGGUGCAAGCGUUUGUCCGGAAUUAUUGGGCGUAAAGAGCUCGUAGGCGGUUUGUCGCGUCUGCUGUGAAAUUUGGGGGCUCAACCCCCAGCCUGCAGUGGGUACGGGCAGACUAGAGUGCGGUAGGGGAGAUUGGAAUUCCUGGUGUAGCGGUGGAAUGCGCAGAUAUCAGGAGGAACACCGGUGGCGAAGGCGGGUCUCUGGGCAAUAACUGACGCUGAGGAGCGAAAGCGUGGGGAGCGAACAGG